AGAGUUUGAUCCUGGCUCAGGGCGAACGCUGGCGGCGUGCCUAAUACAUGCAAGUCGAACGCACUGACGGAGAACUUGUUCUCUUGACGUGAGUGGCGCACGGGUGAGUAACACGUGGGAAACCUACCCUUCAGCGGGGGAUAACCAUCGGAAACGAUGACUAAUACCGCAUAGACGACAGAACCGCCUGGUUCAAUCGGGAAAGACGGCUUCGGCUGUCACUGAAGGAUGGUCCCGCGCUGCAUUAGCUAGUUGGUAAGGUAACGGCUUACCAAGGCGAUGAUGCAUAGCCGACCUGAGAGGGUGAUCGGCCACAUUGGGACUGAGACACGGCCCAAACUCCUACGGGAGGCAGCAGUAGGGAAUCUUCCGCAAUGGACGCAAGUCUGACGGAGCAACGCCGCGUGUGUGAAGAAGGUUUUCGGAUCGUAAAGCACUGUUAUUAGAGAAGAACAGCCGAUAGAGUAACUGUUAUCGGUUUGACGGUAUCUAACCAGAAAGUGACGGCUAACUACGUGCCAGCAGCCGCGGUAAUACGUAGGUCACAAGCGUUGUCCGGAUUUAUUGGGCGUAAAGGGAGCGCAGGCGGUUUGUUAAGUCUGAUGUGAAAGCCCACGGCUCAACCGUGGAACGGCAUUGGAAACUGGCAAACUUGAGUAUAGAAGAGGAAAGUGGAAUUCCAUGUGUAGCGGUGAAAUGCGUAGAUAUAUGGAGGAACACCAGUGGCGAAGGCGACUUUCUGGUCUAUAACUGACGCUGAGGCUCGAAAGCGUGGGGAGCGAACAGGAUUAGAUACCCUGGUAGUCC
RNAcentral lists this ribosomal RNA (807 nucleotides) under uncultured bacterium. Its description in RNAcentral is "bacterial SSU rRNA". It matches the Rfam family "Bacterial small subunit ribosomal RNA", at positions 8 to 796 of the family's 1533-position model. The record is from RNAcentral.